Molecule: transfer-messenger RNA, 357 nt
Filed under: Desulfobulbaceae bacterium
Lineage: Bacteria; Pseudomonadati; Thermodesulfobacteriota; Desulfobulbia; Desulfobulbales; Desulfobulbaceae
Also listed under: 2 other names
Rfam family: transfer-messenger RNA
About the family: Bacterial tmRNA, also known as 10Sa RNA or SsrA, is named for its dual tRNA and mRNA-like properties. Its role is to liberate the mRNA from a stalled ribosome. To accomplish this part of the tmRNA is used as a reading frame that ends in a translation stop signal.
Source: RNAcentral
GGGGGCGAAACGGAUUCGACGGGGAUAUAGAAGCUCAAAGUAGCAUGCCGAGGUCUGUCUGCUCGUAAAACAGAUGGAAAACUUAUAAUCGCUGACGAUUAUAAAUACGCUGUAGCAGCUUAGAUCUGCUCAGCCGUCCUGCUGGUUUCCCCCUGCGGAAUCAGUAAAGGGCGUCGACUCAGCAGGGUAGUUUCUGUGAUGCGCCUGCCAGAACAGAAGCGAAACUUUAGCAGGAUAGCGAUGCAGAAAGCUUGUUCCAGGGAAUUCUGCAGGGCGAUAUCUUAAACUGGAACUAAGCAUGUAGAAACUAGAGGGGAGUAUUUUCGGACGCGGGUUCGACUCCCGCCGCCUCCACCA